CCCUUAGAUGUUCUGGGCCGCACGCGCGCUACAAUGGUCUUCGCAAACGGAUGCAUUCUCGAAGGAGAAUGCCAAUCUUGGAAUCUAUGCCUUGGUCGGGACAGUUGCUUGCAAUUUUUCGACUCGAACCAGGAAUUCCUUGUAAUCGUGAUUCAUCACAUCACGAUGAAUACGUCCCUGCCCUUUGUACACAUCGCCCGUCGCUCCUACCGAUCGAAGAGUUAGGUGAAUUGUUUUGAUCGAUAAGAUUUGACUAUGGUCAACUCUCGUUGUGAAAUUCUGUGAAUCUGACUGUUUAGAGGAAGGAAAAGUCGUAACA
RNAcentral lists this ribosomal RNA (319 nucleotides) under uncultured eukaryote. Its description in RNAcentral is "partial 18S ribosomal RNA". It matches the Rfam family "Eukaryotic small subunit ribosomal RNA", at positions 1470 to 1796 of the family's 1831-position model. The record is from RNAcentral.